This is a long non-coding RNA of Nematostella vectensis (starlet sea anemone), 1584 nucleotides long. RefSeq lists it as uncharacterized. Lineage: Eukaryota; Metazoa; Cnidaria; Anthozoa; Actiniaria; Edwardsiidae. The record is from RefSeq and is a predicted model, not a curated record. The transcript has 4 exons.
UCGCUUGGGGUUCCUGAUCAUCGGAUAGAGCAGAGAACUGGCAACGAAUGUGUGAUCUGCGCAUGCUCCAUGCACAACUCGCUCGCGUCAUUCGUUAACGGACCUUCGUUCACUCAAGAAAGUAGAGCGACGUCGCGUGUGGAUGUUCAUUUUUACCUCUUAAAAGAUGCCAUCAGCUUCCUUUUGGCACCGUUUUCGCCAUCUUGGUUUGUGGUCGCGUGCAAAUCUUCAAAAUGAGGCAUUACCGCUCUUCAGUGCCUAUCAACUAUUUGUUUAGUUGAUGUGCAAGUACUCUUUGAGCUAUCACUGUCCGAAUGCUUCACGGUAGAUUUACUUCAUCAGGGGCCAGGAAAAUUACAAUGGACACAUGUCAUUAUGUUUCUGUUCUCCAAUGGCCAUGUAUACCUAGCCCAACCUGUUUAGUGACAGCUUCUUGUUUCAUUUCAACAUUCCAAUUUUAAUAUUGCAAUAACUUGGGAUGAUGACAUGAUAAUAAAAAUGAUCAACUAAAUUGUAAAAAAAUAUUUCUAUUUAUUUUGUAUACUAUUUGUCAUACAGCCCUGGAGAGCACUAGUCUCAAGAGCACCUUGGAAGUUCUCAAUGCAGUAUCAAAACUGGCUUUAUAUUUUUGAACUGCAGUGUUUGGCUCUCCUAUCAAGGCUUUCAAUCACCCUGUUGGCCAAAAGGAAUGAACCUUCUCUGGAGGUUCUGCAUCCAAGCCACAAUCUUUCUCUCCCUGUGUGACACUAUGUUACAACAUGUAAUCAAGAGUAAGAAUAUCAAGGAACUUCUCUUCCUCUUGCUUGACAAUUGAUGUUGAAUUUUUCAUGGCUUUCAGUCUAUGAUUUUUUUUCCAAAAGAGGUUUAAGUUUUACCUUUUUAAAGAUAGUUUUGGAAUUUGGCAAAUCUCACCUUUGAUUUGUGGAGUGUGACUAUUACUCUUUAAUUCAAGGUUAAAGACUGUUGUGGCAUUUACCUCAAAAUGGUUCCUUGUUGACACUUGCAUUGAGAAGUCAUAGUUCUCCAACCAUCUAAGAUAUAAUUUAGCAUCUGAUUGCCUGCACCUCUGCAACUGAGUGAUUCCCUUUCCAUCUAAUUAUGCGUCAUAGCGAUGACCUUUACAUACUCUGCUUCUUUGAGAAACUGUACUUCUUUUUGAAGAAGUCUACCGCAUCAAUGGCAUGGUUUUUGAUUUUUCUAGUUCCUUUUUUUUCUUUGAGAGGUACGCACACACUUUUUCUUUAAGAUAUUAUAUAUGAUGAUACUUCUGAAACAUGGGAAACUAAAAUUCCCAAGUAAUGUGUUUACUUGUAGACAAGGAAAUCUUUGCAUGGGUAUAAAACAGUUCUUUUCGAUGCAGUGUAAAUAAAUAACACUAUGUUGGUUAAAAGGAGGGUCAAUAGCUUGUAAGAGGUGGACAGCAGUGGUAGCCAUUUUGCUGUCUUGGUUACAAACAACCUGGUCAUGCAAGCAGUUGAUAAUAUUAUUUGCGCACACAAAACAUGGGAGGUUUCAAUCCUGCUUGGGGAAGUCCAGUCCAUUCCAUUUCAUUAUUUGAAUAAUUAUAAUUGUUUGCUAUUUUAU